UGGGGAAUAUUGCACAAUGGGCGAAAGCCUGAUGCAGCAACGCCGCGUGAGUGAUGAAGGCCUUCGGGUUGUAAAGCUCUGUCUUUUGGGACGAUAAUGACGGUACCAAAGGAGGAAGCCACGGCUAACUACGUGCCAGCAGCCGCGGUAAUACGUAGGUGGCAAGCGUUGUCCGGAUUUACUGGGCGUAAAGGAUGCGUAGGCGGAUUUUUAAGUGAGAUGUGAAAUACCCGGGCUUAACUUGGGUGCUGCAUUUCAAACUGGGAAUCUAGAGUGCGGGAGAGGAGAAUGGAAUUCCUAGUGUAGCGGUGAAAUGCGUAGAGAUUAGGAAGAACACCAGUGGCGAAGGCGAUUCUCUGGACCGUAACUGACGCUGAGGCAUGAAAGCGUGGGUAGCAAACAGGAUUAGAUACCCUGGUAGUCCACGCCGUAAACGAUGAGUACUAGGUGUAGGAGGUAUCGACCCCUUCUGUGCCGCAGUUAACACAAUCAAGUACUCCGCCUGGGGAAGUACGAUCGCAAGAUUAAAACUCAAAGGAAUUG
RNAcentral lists this ribosomal RNA (543 nucleotides) under uncultured bacterium. Its description in RNAcentral is "partial 16S ribosomal RNA". It matches the Rfam family "Bacterial small subunit ribosomal RNA", at positions 355 to 912 of the family's 1533-position model. The record is from RNAcentral.